UACGGAAGGUCCGGGCGUUAUCCGGAUUUAUUGGGUUUAAAGGGAGCGUAGGCCGGAGAUUAAGCGUGUUGUGAAAUGUAGACGCUCAACGUCUGAACUGCAGCGCGAACUGGUUUCCUUGAGUACGCACAAAGUGGGCGGAAUUCGUGGUGUAGCGGUGAAAUGCUUAGAUAUCACGAAGAACUCCGAUUGCGAAGGCAGCUCACUGGAGCGCAACUGACGCUGAAGCUCGAAAGUGCGGGUAUCGAACAGG
RNAcentral lists this ribosomal RNA (253 nucleotides) under Segatella copri DSM 18205. RNAcentral describes it as "Prevotella copri DSM 18205 partial 16S ribosomal RNA". It matches the Rfam family "Bacterial small subunit ribosomal RNA", at positions 524 to 776 of the family's 1533-position model. Lineage: Bacteria; Pseudomonadati; Bacteroidota; Bacteroidia; Bacteroidales; Prevotellaceae. The record is from RNAcentral.